RNAcentral lists this non-coding RNA (31 nucleotides) under Homo sapiens (human). The record is from RNAcentral. Lineage: Eukaryota; Metazoa; Chordata; Mammalia; Primates; Hominidae.
UCACUCCAGAAGAAACUACCUACCCAUCAGC